Molecule: non-coding RNA, 148 nt
Filed under: Cercocebus atys (sooty mangabey)
Lineage: Eukaryota; Metazoa; Chordata; Mammalia; Primates; Cercopithecidae
Source: Rfam by way of RNAcentral
GCUAGGCAUGGUGGCGCAUGCCUGUAAUCCCAGCUACUGGGGAGGCUGAGGCAGGAGAAUCACUUGAACCCGGGAGGCGGAGGUUGCAGUGAGCCAAGAUCAUGCCACUGCACUCCAGCCUGGGUGACAGAGUAAGACUCUGUCUCAA